Molecule: ribosomal RNA, 532 nt
Filed under: Bifidobacterium pseudolongum
Lineage: Bacteria; Bacillati; Actinomycetota; Actinomycetes; Bifidobacteriales; Bifidobacteriaceae
Description: bacterial SSU rRNA
Rfam family: Bacterial small subunit ribosomal RNA
Source: RNAcentral
AAUGCCGGAUGUUCCACAUGAGCGCAUGCGAGUGUGGGAAAGGCUUUUGCGGCAUGGGAUGGGGUCGCGUCCUAUCAGCUUGUUGGUGGGGUAACGGCCUACCAAGGCGUUGACGGGUAGCCGGCCUGAGAGGGCGACCGGCCACAUUGGGACUGAGAUACGGCCCAGACUCCUACGGGAGGCAGCAGUGGGGAAUAUUGCACAAUGGGCGCAAGCCUGAUGCAGCGACGCCGCGUGCGGGAUGGAGGCCUUCGGGUUGUAAACCGCUUUUGUUCAAGGGCAAGGCACGGUCUUUGGCCGUGUUGAGUGGAUUGUUCGAAUAAGCACCGGCUAACUACGUGCCAGCAGCCGCGGUAAUACGUAGGGUGCAAGCGUUAUCCGGAUUUAUUGGGCGUAAAGGGCUCGUAGGCGGUUCGUCGCGUCCGGUGUGAAAGUCCAUCGCUUAACGGUGGAUCCGCGCCGGGUACGGGCGGGCUUGAGUGCGGUAGGGGAGACUGGAAUUCCCGGUGUAACGGUGGAAUGUGUAGAUAUC